RNAcentral lists this ribosomal RNA (701 nucleotides) under Morchella sp. Mel-17/19/20/34. RNAcentral's name for it is "eukaryotic LSU rRNA". The stretch from base 223 to 376 matches the Rfam family "5.8S ribosomal RNA". The record is from RNAcentral. Lineage: Eukaryota; Fungi; Ascomycota; Pezizomycetes; Pezizales; Morchellaceae.
AUCAUUACCAAGAACCACACAGAAAAGGGAGGCAAAGGGGCCUACAGGGCUAGUAGCUUAUACGUUGUUGAACGUCCUGCCUGGACCCGGAGCCGCCCCCAUCUAAACCCUCUGCGUACCUGUCCCUUCUUGCUUCCCCCGGCAUCUCGUCGGGGGGAGGUAACAACCAAAACUCUCUGUGAAUCAAACAGCCGUCAGAAUUAUAAAACAAACAAAAGUUAAAACUUUCAACAACGGAUCUCUUGGUUCCCACAUCGAUGAAGAACGCAGCGAAAUGCGAUAAGUAAUGUGAAUUGCAGAAUUCAGUGAAUCAUCGAAUCUUUGAACGCACAUUGCGCCCCCUGGUAUUCCGGGGGGCAUGCCUGUUCGAGCGUCAUAAAAACCUCCUCCCCCUUCGGGUUUUGUUACUAUCGUUGGGGGGUUUUGGCCUAAUGGGAUAGCGAUUGGCAAUUCGUUUCCCAAUGUCCUAAAUAGACGUAGACCCGCCUCCAGAUGCGACAGCACCGAGGCCAUCAACCGUGGAGUUAUGGGAUAUAAUAGGCUUGCAGUAAAAUGCUCACCUCUCUCCACACGCCGAUGGCACGACAGUUGCAGUUGCGGGCGUAAAUUGGAGCCCUUUUCAGGACCCUUGUGGCCUAGCAUCCACCAUACAUAAUUUGACCUCGGAUCAGGUAGGGAUACCCGCUGAACUUAAGCAUAUC